Molecule: ribosomal RNA, 301 nt
Filed under: uncultured bacterium
Lineage: Bacteria
Description: partial 16S ribosomal RNA
Rfam family: Bacterial small subunit ribosomal RNA
Source: RNAcentral
CAGCAGCCACGGGAAUACGUAGGGUGCAAGCGUUAAUCGGAAUUACUGGGCGUAAAGCGUGCGCAGGCGGUUAUAUAAGACAGAUGUGAAAUCCCCGGGCUCAACCUGGGAACUGCAUUUGUGACUGUAUAGCUAGAGUACGGCAGAGGGGGAUGGAAUUCCGCGUGUAGCAGUGAAAUGCGUAGAUAUGCGGAGGAACACCGAUGGCGAAGGCAAUCCCCUGGGCCUGUACUGACGCUAAUGCACGAAAGCGUGGGGAGCAAACAGGAUUAGAUACCCCCGUAGUCCCUGUCUCUUAUAC